Archocentrus centrarchus (flier cichlid) is the source of this 958-nucleotide long non-coding RNA. RefSeq lists it as uncharacterized. The transcript has 3 exons. The record is from RefSeq and is a predicted model, not a curated record. NCBI's taxonomy places the organism in Eukaryota, Metazoa, Chordata, Actinopteri, Cichliformes, Cichlidae.
CGCAGCUGGGCCACUACUGACAGAUUCUCAGCAAGAAAGGAGGAGCAGUAGGACACAAAAUCAAAAACUUUAUGGCUGUUAUUUGACAAGAACGACUACAUUGCAACAAGAAGAUCUUGUAGCCUCCAAGCACUACCUUUGUAUCUCAACGAAGACCCUGAAAAGCUAGUGAAAGAGUACGGAAGUGAGAACCCUGAUGAAACCCAGGCAGAUUUGGAUCAGAUGGUCAUCGGCACCUAUGUGAUUAAACACCCAGGUGAAGAUGUUGAUCAGUCCCCAGAAGAUGUUGGCAUCAUAGUUGAAGGUGUGCAGGUGCUCAAUGAACUCAAAGAUGUCACUACUUCUUGUGCCUUACUGUUUGGGAUCAUCUACGACCUGAACCUGAGCAUUCUGACCUCAGGUACACUUUUAAAUUCAUCCAAAAGAUCCUGAUGGAACUUGAUACACACAGACUUUUAAACAAAAUCCAGGUACUCAAAAAUAAACUGCUGGAAUAAUGCAUGAAACCAUUAUGGGGGCUGUUCAGUGUGCUGAAAAGAUUUUGUUAUCCUGUUAACUUGAGCAGUAGUUUGGGUUGUCUGUUAACCUUUUUUUAUUUCUUACGUUACUGUUUCACCUUGAAGGUUACAAGUUUCAAAUUGAAAUCUAAGGUAGUAGUAUCAACCUACUGACCUGAGACCAUACGACUCUGUUAAGAGUUUACGUUGGGCAGCAGACAAAACAUUGUUUUGAGGUUUAUUCUUUUUUUUUUCUUUUUUUUCUCAUGUGUCAGAUUGUUGUUACAGCACUUUCAGUUGUAUUAAGAUACCUCAUUGUAGCCACUUAGCUGUAAUGGGUAAAAAAAAUUCUCCUACAAAGACGCUUUACCAUAGUGUGGAUGUUCUGCUGCUAUUUGAACUAGUUGAAGCUUGUGUGGAGCUAAGAGCUCUGAAAAGGUUAUUGAAAGUUUAAAAAAUAC